Molecule: ribosomal RNA, 467 nt
Filed under: uncultured bacterium
Lineage: Bacteria
Description: partial 16S ribosomal RNA
Rfam family: Bacterial small subunit ribosomal RNA
Source: RNAcentral
ACGAACGCUGGCGGCGUGCUUAACACAUGCAAGUCGAACGGAAAAGCCCUGCUUUUGUGGGGUGCUCGAGUGGCGAACGGGUGAGUAACACGUGAGUAACCUGCCCUUGACUUUGGGAUAACUUCAGGAAACUGGGGCUAAUACCGGAUAGGAGCUCCUGCUGCAUGGUGGGGGUUGGAAAGUUUCGGCGGUUGGGGAUGGACUCGCGGCUUAUCAGCUUGUUGGUGGGGUAGUGGCUUACCAAGGCUUUGACGGGUAGCCGGCCUGAGAGGGUGACCGGCCACAUUGGGACUGAGAUACGGCCCAGACUCCUACGGGAGGCAGCAGUGGGGAAUAUUGCACAAUGGGCGGAAGCCUGAUGCAGCAACGCCGCGUGCGGGAUGACGGCCUUCGGGUUGUAAACCGCUUUCGCCUGUGACGAAGCGUGAGUGACGGUAAUGGGUAAAGAAGCACCGGCUAACUACGUG